This is a long non-coding RNA of Apis cerana (Asiatic honeybee), 1127 nucleotides long. RefSeq lists it as uncharacterized. The record is from RefSeq and is a predicted model, not a curated record. Lineage: Eukaryota; Metazoa; Arthropoda; Insecta; Hymenoptera; Apidae.
UCCUACACAAAUUAUUUAGUGCAAUAAAGUCAUCUUAAAAGAUACGGAACAUUUUCAUAGUUAUUUGAAAUAUAUAUUUAGGUAAAACUAUCAAAAUCAUUUAUUUACGAAUAUUCACUAUAUCCACAGCGUAAUGCGUUUCAUGUAGAUAUCCAUACCUUAUAUUCUGUCUUGUUGCACGUAUAUGCUCUGUGUGACUAUAUGUUAAAUUGUGUGUGAUUUCACAAAUGCUAGUCUAAUAUAAGACAUACAUAUAUAACAGGAACACAUAAAAGAAAAUUAGGUAAUUAAAAUGUGCAAGCUUAUUUCACGGAGAAAUCGACCAAUACGACAUAUUUUGUGAGAGUUGGGAAAGUCCAAAGCAGUUGUUCCUUAGUACCAUUCGUUUUGGAGUACUUACCGUCAGCAAGCAGUCAACGAAUUUCUGCAGAUCCCUCAUUGCACUUCCAUGUAUUAUAAACCGUCUCCACACUAUUUCACUGAACUUACAUUACGGGCGGUCGAACGUAAACCCGUUUUAUUCGCUAGGUAUAUCUUCUGGUUACCGUAAUGCGUUUAAAACUAAUAUUUGAGGUCUUAUGAACUGCUAAAACGGUCGACACGAUAUUACAAAUUACAGUUUCCAUGCACGAGUCGUAGCCGCAUAGAUCGGCCGUGUCACUUCAUAUUUGCGAAAAAAUUCUGUUUACAUUCGCCCAGAGGGACCAGGAAUAAAUGAUGUACAUUCUAAGUAAAAUACGUGCGAUCAACAGUAGUGCCAACAUGUAAACGAUUCUUUAUGGAAAAUUGGACGACAUAGCAAAAAUAGUUGCACAAAAAUAAUUUAAUUUGACGAUUUAAUAUAAUCUAAUUCGAUGAAAUGUAAUAUUUCUGUAACAUUUUUAAUCAUAAUUUAUAAUUAUUUUGAAAAUAUUAGAACAUAGAAAACAUAAAAAACACAUAUUUUAAAUGUUGGAUGACAUUGGCUGACAUAAGACGUAUAUUCUUGGAAAUAUAAGCAUAGACUCCACUGUUGACCGCAAUCUUCUAAUGGGCGCUGUUUUUAAAUUUAUUAAGAUUUUAAUUAUAUUUUUUUUAGAAUUUGUAUACUUAUAUUUUUAAAAAAUAAAAAUUAUAAUAUAAAGUUA